Molecule: transfer RNA, 72 nt
Filed under: Dibranchus sp. YXL-2021
Lineage: Eukaryota; Metazoa; Chordata; Actinopteri; Lophiiformes; Ogcocephalidae
Description: tRNA-Thr
Rfam family: tRNA (bases 6-66)
About the family: Transfer RNA (tRNA) molecules are approximately 80 nucleotides in length. Their secondary structure includes four short double-helical elements and three loops (D, anti-codon, and T loops).
Source: RNAcentral
GCGCCCAGUAGCUCAAAAAAGAGCACCAGUGUUGUAAGCUGGUUGCGCGGGUUGAAACCCCGUCUGACGCUC